This 236-nucleotide long non-coding RNA is filed under the name Elaeis guineensis (African oil palm). Its description in RNAcentral is "long non-coding RNA (EGUI_LNC050841)". Lineage: Eukaryota; Viridiplantae; Streptophyta; Magnoliopsida; Arecales; Arecaceae. The record is from RNAcentral.
UUACUUGGUUGGAAGAAUAUAUAAGGUAGAAUGGUAAGAAAGACAUUAUUAGACUGCUUUGUCAAUCUAUAGAGGUAGAGUAAGCAAAUCCAUGCCAGGCCCCAAAAAGAAAUUUCAGAAAUUAAGAACUCUCACUUGUCACAUAAGCAAGUGCACAUAGUCUUGAAUACUCAAGGCGUAAAUAGUCUAACCAGUCACUUCAGCAAAAAGGGAAGUCCAGCUUAUAUGGGAAAGAG